RNAcentral lists this non-coding RNA (148 nucleotides) under Nomascus leucogenys (northern white-cheeked gibbon). Lineage: Eukaryota; Metazoa; Chordata; Mammalia; Primates; Hylobatidae. The record is from Rfam by way of RNAcentral.
GCUGGGCAUGGUGGCGUGUGCCUGUAGUGUCAGCUACUCACAAGGCUGAGGUGGGAGGAUCUCUUGAGCCCGGGAUGUUGAGACUGCAGUGAGCUGAGAUUGCGCCACUGCACUCCAGCCUGGGCAACAUAGUGAAACCCUGUCUCAA